GUUUUAAUUAAGUCAGCUUGAGUGGUCCAUAUUCACUGCCAAGGCUGUUGCAGCGAGCUCUGACGCUGGGUGCUCGGUGGGAAUCAGCUGGAGCCGUAGCCAAGCCUCUCAUAAGCUCAAUUCAUGACCUGCGGUCCCAGAGAGGGGAUUCAUUGCCACUUGUCGUGUGGGAAGUGGAUUACAGCCAAGUGCCUCCACGCCUUGGAAAGGCUGCUGUUCUGUUGUGCUGUGGAUUUGUGGAUGACGUUUUCAUACGGUCGGGAUUGAACGGCGUGCCUAGUUUGGGCGGCUUCACUGUCAGGAUCAACCUCUGGGCCCUGGUGGACAGCCUGACUGCCUCCCCUCCCCCUGCCUGAGAUAAGUAGCCUAGUUUGAUAAAUGGGCUAUUGGUGAAUGAAUGAUUGCCAUAUAAUUACUGUCAAGCCUUUUACCAACUCUUGUGUCUCUGUUCCUCCUCUCUCUCUCGCUUUCUCUCUCUUCCGGACAGGUGUGGUGGGUUUCCCACAGGCGGCAGGCCAUCCUUCAGGUGGCGGAGUUCCCCCCUCACUUUUCUCUGCUGUGUACAACGGGUGCUUUAUUCUGAAUUGCAGUGCCAUUAUCCUUCACGUGUGGUGCGUGUCUUCUGGGUCCCUCCUUUUCCCCCUUUUUUGGAAAUCCUGCUCGCUGUGGCGCCUCUGCCUCAGUGCUUGGUCCUUCUGCAUCCCCUUCACAACCCCCGACCCAGGCCCCGGCCCACCUGAAGAACCUCUGGAGCCGACCCAGGCCCACCUGAAGAACCUCUGGAGCCGACCCAGCCCCCGGCCCACCUGAAGAACCUCUGGAGCCGACCCAGGCCCACCUGAAGAACCUCUGGAGCCGACCCAGGCCCCGGCCCACCUGAAGAACCUCUGCGGCCCGGCACUUGUUUCAGCGGGGUCAUUGAUCUGGUUCAGGUGCCAAUGGAGACCCACUCCCUUACUGUGUCUAUUCACGCAGUCCAGCUCCUCUGGUCUGGGGUAUAAGGGUGGUGCAUGGCAACAGGAGUCUGGGCCAAUUCCUCUCAAUGCAAAGCCUUAAGGCUCAAACCAGGGGUUGUGCUUGUGUAGGAUAAUGAGUAGAGGGGGACGGUGGUAGGGUGGGUUGGAAGGUGAUCGAUAAAUCUGCCCACACAAAAUCCAGACACCUUUCUGAUUCUAUUCCAGCUGAGCAUAGGCACAACCAGCACCCUGGUGUGUCCACUAUAGACCCUUUCAACAAUAACAACAAAAACAAUGCUUGAACGUUUAUUUGGUUCCCAAUCUACUUCCUCUGCAUUAAGAUAACAUAUGGAAUGUUAAAACGGAAGUGUGUCCCCUGUAUAAGCAAUGCACAGCAUUGAAUGUCUGCUCUAAUAAGAGUAAUAAGAGUAAUCCAUAUUGUGAAAUGCUGUUGCUUGGAAACUGGAUAAGCACUGAACAAGUGUUCCUGUGUAGAAAUACGUAAUAGUGAGUGUCAGAAUAUUACAAACAAACCAUUACCAAUGCAAAGCAGGUUAAUGAAGGUUAAGAGCCCUUAAUUUGACUCUGUUUUUUUGUAAUCCAACUCUUCCAUGAUUGAAAGGCUGAAGUAUAUAAGCAGGUUUGUUUUGGCAUCCUUCAUAUUGUAAGGCCAGCAAUUUUCCUACCUAAACCAGUGGAAAAGUAUUAUAUUGAGAGAGGCUUUUGUAACCAGCAGCACCCCUGUUUAUACAUACAGUGAACUAGAACGUUUCUGGUUUCAGCUCAGCUGCUAUUUGGUCUUGGCUCUCCUUACCCUGUUGAGGGCCUAACUCAGACCCAGGCCUCUCCUGGAUCGCAGGAAAAUACAUGAACUGAUGUAUAAUUUUAUCACGUCUGAUAUCAUUUUAAAAGUCUCCAUGCGAGAAAUCCAGUAUUGUCAGUUGUAGAACAGUAAAGUUAAUGCAUAUGAUGUUUCUGUAACCUGGGAUAUUUGAGGCCCUCUCUGAUGAGAUGCGCCCACACCCCCUGCUCUGAGAAAAGAGAAAUGUCCUGGGGCCAGUUGCACCAACUGUUCUUUGCUAUGCCUGGUCCUAACUGCUAAGUUGGUGUUUGUUAAGACCAGUCUUAAGAAUUGAACCUACAUUGGUUGCACCAACUGAACGUACGCCUAGGCUUAACUGUGCCCAGUCUCAGCGAUGCACACACAAUGCCUACGGAACAAUAACAAGUAUUAAUUUCCCAGUUGCAAAGAUUCUUUGCCGUCUGUUAGGGUGACCCCCCCGACCCCCCCCACAUCCUCGGAGGAA
Molecule: long non-coding RNA, 2263 nt
Organism: Alosa alosa (allis shad)
Lineage: Eukaryota; Metazoa; Chordata; Actinopteri; Clupeiformes; Clupeidae
Exons: 6
Source: RefSeq, a predicted model, not a curated record